CUACGGGUGGCUGCAGUGGGGAAUAUUGGACAAUGGGGGAAACCCUGAUCCAGCAAUGCCGCGUGUGUGAAGAAGGCCUGCGGGUUGUAAAGCACUUUCGGUUGGGAGGACUGCUUCUAGCACUAAUAUUGUUGGAAGUUGACGUUACCUUCAGAAGAAGCACCUGCUAACUCCGUGCCAGCAGCCGUGGUAAUACGGGGGGUGCAAGCGUUAAUCGGAAUUACUGGGCGUAAAGCGCGCGUAGGCGGCUAGAUCAGUCGGGUGUGAAAGCCCCGGGCUUAACCUGGGAACUGCAUCCGAUACUGUCUAGCUAGAGUACAGGAGAGGAGAGUGGAAUUCCACAUGUAGCGGUGAAAUGCGUAGAUAUGUGGAGGAACACCAAUGGCGAAGGCAGCUCUCUGGCCUGAUACUGACGCUGAGGUGCGAAAGCGUGGGGAGCAAACAGGAUUAGAUACCCCAGUAGUC
Molecule: ribosomal RNA, 465 nt
Filed under: uncultured bacterium
Lineage: Bacteria
Description: partial 16S ribosomal RNA
Rfam family: Bacterial small subunit ribosomal RNA
Source: RNAcentral